This is a transfer RNA of 73 nucleotides. It matches the Rfam family "tRNA". Rfam says of the family: Transfer RNA (tRNA) molecules are approximately 80 nucleotides in length. Their secondary structure includes four short double-helical elements and three loops (D, anti-codon, and T loops).
GCCCUGUUAGCUCAGCUGGUAGAGCAGUUGCCUCUUAAGCAAACGGUCGGAGGUUCGAGCCCUCCACAGGGCA